CAAUAGCGUAUAUUAAAGUUGUUGCAGUUAAAAAGCUCGUAGUUGGAUUUCUGGUAGGAGCGACCGUGCCGAACUUGAUUGUUCGAGUAUUGUGUUGUCUUCAGCCAUCCUCGUGGAGAACUUUUCUAACAUUAACUUGUUGGGAUUGGGACCCGCGUCGUUUACUGUGAAAAAAUUAGAGUGUUUAAAGCAGGCAUUAGCUUGAAUACAUUAGCAUGGAAUAAUAAGAUAGGACUUUGGUACUAUUUUGUUGGUUUGCAUACCAAAUUAAUGAUCAACAGGAACAGUUUGAGGAUACUCGUAUGAACAUGUCAGAGGUGAAAUUCUUGGAUUUUGAUCAGACGAACUACUGCGAAAGCAUUUAUCAAGGAUGUUUUCAUUAA
RNAcentral lists this ribosomal RNA (383 nucleotides) under uncultured eukaryote. Its description in RNAcentral is "partial 18S ribosomal RNA". It matches the Rfam family "Eukaryotic small subunit ribosomal RNA", at positions 592 to 976 of the family's 1831-position model. The record is from RNAcentral.